AGACAACUAGGAUGUUGGCUUAGAAGCAGCCAUACAUUUAAAGAGUGCGUAAUAGCUCACUAGUCGAGAAAACCUGCGCCGAAAAUGUAACGGGGCUAAAACACGACACCGAAGCUACGGAUUUCCUACUAGGUAGGAAGUGGUAGAGGAGCAUCCUGCAAGGACGAAGCCAAAGUGAGAGCGAUGGUGGACGAAACAGGAGAGAGAAUGCCGGAAUGAGUAGCGAGAUACAUGUGAGAAACAUGUAGGCCGAAUAUCUAAGGAUUCCUGGGUAAAGCUAAUCUUCCCAGGGUUAGUCGGGGCCUAAGGCGAGGACGAGAGUCGUAGUCGAUGGAUAACAGGUUGAUAUUCCUGUACUACACAUAAUCAGAACUGUGGGGACGCAGGAGGAUAGGGAAACCGGGGAAUGGAAAGACCCGGUCAAGCGCAAAGCUGUGGGAGAUAGGCAAAUCCGUCUCCUGUAAGUGAAGCGUGAUGAGGACUGAAAAAAAGUAAGGAAGUUUCCGAAUCCACACUGCCGAGAAAAGCCGCUAUUGCGUUAUGUGUACCCGUACCGUAAACCGACACAGGUAGAUGAGGAGAAAAUCCACAGGCCGACGGGAGAAGUGUUGUUAAGGAACUCGGCAAAAUGACCCCGUAACUUCGGGAUAAGGGGAGCCUCGCAAGAGGCCGCAGAAAAGAGGCACAAGCAACUGUUUAGCAAAAACAUAGGUCUAUGCGAAACCGUAAGGUGAAGUAUAUGGGCUGACGCCUGCCCGGUGCUGGAAGGUUAAGAGGAGAGGUCAGAGCAAUCGAAGCCUUGAAUUUAAGCCCCAGUAAACGGCGGCCGUAACUAUAACGGUCCUAAGGUAGCGAAAUUCCUUGUCAGGUAAGUUCUGACCCGCACGAAAGGCGUAAUGAUUUGUGCACUGUCUCGACAACACGCCCGGUGAAAUUGAAGAACCAGUGAAGAUACUGGUUACCCGCAACAGGACGGAAAGACCCCAUGGAGCUUUACUGCAGCCUGAUACUGGGAUUCGAUGAUAUAUGUACAGGAUAGGUGGGAGGCUAAGAAGCGAGAACGCUAGUUUUCGUGGAGCCGCCGGUGGGAUACCACUCUUAUGUCAUUGGAUUUCUAACCUGCAUCCGUAAUCCGGGUGAGGGACAAUGUCAGGCGGGCAGUUUGACUGGGGCGGUCGCCUCCUAAAAGGUAACGGAGGCGCUCGAAGGUCACCUCAGAAUGAUUGGAAACCAUUCAAAGAGUGUAAAGGCAAAAGGUGGCUUGACUGCGAGAGCGACGGCUCGAGCAGGUACGAAAGUAGGACUUAGUGAUCCGGUGGUAAUAAGUGGGAAUGCCAUCGCUCAACGGAUAAAAGCUACCCUGGGGAUAACAGGCUUAUCUCCCCCAA
Molecule: ribosomal RNA, 1388 nt
Filed under: metagenome
Description: bacterial LSU rRNA
Rfam family: Bacterial large subunit ribosomal RNA
Source: RNAcentral